RNAcentral lists this ribosomal RNA (497 nucleotides) under uncultured bacterium. RNAcentral's name for it is "partial 16S ribosomal RNA". It matches the Rfam family "Bacterial small subunit ribosomal RNA", at positions 28 to 507 of the family's 1533-position model. The record is from RNAcentral.
GAUGAACGCUGGCGGCGUGCCUAAUACAUGCAAGUCGAGCGAACGGACGAGAAGCUUGCUUUUCUGAUGUUAGCGGCGGACGGGUGAGUAACACGUGGAUAACCUACCUAUAAGACUGGGAUAACUUCGGGAAACCGGAGCUAAUACCGGAUAAUAUUUUGAACCGCAUGGUUCAAAAGUGAAAGACGGUCUUGCUGUCACUUAUAGAUGGAUCCGCGCUGCAUUAGCUAGUUGGUAAGGUAACGGCUUACCAAGGCAACGAUGCAUAGCCGACCUGAGAGGGUGAUCGGCCACACUGGAACUGAGACACGGUCCAGACUCCUAAGGGAGGCAGCAGUAGGGAAUCUUCCGCAAAGGGCGAAAGCCUGACGGAGCAAAGCCGCGUGAGUGAUGAAGGUCUUCGGAUAGUAAAACUCUGUUAUUAGGGAAGAACAUAUGUGUAAGUAACUGUGCACAUCUUGACGGUACCUAAUCAGAAAGCCACGGCUAACUACGUG